ACAUGGAAUGUUCUGGAGGACCAGGUACACACAAAACCAGGCACAUCACGUUAGGAUUAAACAUCACACCAUGGUGUUUACAAUGCACUCAUAAAGCAGAUCAGUGAGUGUUAUGCUUCACUUGAUUUGAGCUUGACCCUCACCUGUGUCGUAAUGAGAGCUGAAGCCAAAACUGGGGUUGAGGAACACUGAGGACAUGACCACCACGAUGAGCAGCGACGAUGGCAUCCUCCUCGGAAGGUUUGAUGGAGCUGGACUGCAGUACUUUACGAAUAUUAACUCUUCAGCACCGAUGCACUGAAAGGAAUUACAGCCGGCAGUGAAGGUGAAGUGAAAUGCAGCAUUUUCCUCGUCACGGUGUCACACAUCAGACUCGAGGGCUGCGAACCUAACCCCGUCCUCUGCCUUGAUCAGCGCGCUCACGGUUUUGACUGACAGCUCGCUGUUCCGGCGCAUUUCCCCGUGCUUUACAGGUUAUUUCAUGUCCCAGUGUUCUCGACGUGUGCCACUUCACCGACACGUUGCUCCUCUCUGCGUCCCUCUGCGUCCCUGCCUGCACCACUGCGUUGGCUGCUGUCCAGCGCCGGGGUGCUGAGAGCAUCAGAGCUUCCUGCACAACAUGUUCAUUUGUGCCCAGCGCUGGAAUGCAGCAUCUGAGCUAUUAACAGACUCCAGUGUUCUCCCUGCAUCAGUCAAUUAACACCGCCGCUUUAUGAUGCGUCUCCAAAUCGACUGGAUGCGGAGCAAAAUGUGGUCGAGUUGACAAGUGCGCCAUCUGCCGGCCGAACCGUGAACAGCACUGUGUGUUACAAGAAGGUGUGGACUGUCUUCGAGCAGCCUUCCUCUUCCUUUCCCAGCUGUCUUGCCAGGGUAGUAAAACUUGCUUUCGCUGUGAAGACUGUUGUUAUCGCUAUCCAUGCUGUAAAAUUGUUAUUCUCCUGAGAAAUGCUGGCAAAAAUGUAAGAUUUUUGAUAAUCUUAUAAAUAAAUCUUAUAAAAAAAGAUAAAUGUUGGCAAAAAAUUCUACUAUGUUUGUUGUUGUUGUGAACGAGCGAGUCACCAGAGGUCUGUAACUGGGGUCUGUACCGUAGGAUACGGACCCGCUCACCAGCCAAUCAGAGUGCAGGAUUUGAUGGAAACCGCACCAUGAAAAAAAAAAUACUGUUCAUUUAUUCAGGUGACAUUGGGCAUACCUAACAACCUGUGUUUUCUCCCCCCCCCAAAUCUGUCCCUCUGAGUUACAUGUCAAUCCUGAGAUUGAGAUGCUGACCUCUUCUGCUCUUCGGACCUGCCUGAUCCAUCCUGAUGCCCUAUGUCUGGCUGGAGUCUCAUCACGUUGCUCCUGUAGACGAUGGCCCCAUAUGAAAUGCAUGUAAAACAACCACAAACCCGAUCUUCAUAUUGCAGAAAAGAGCUAUUAGGAUCAUACACAAAGUGAAAGUCACACUUGGAGGACACUCUGGACACUUACAGUAAUGCUUUUAUGGCUGAGGACUACAGUUUGAACAGUUUUGCACCCAAAUUUCCAUCAAUGAAGAGUUUAUAACAUCAACGAAACUGACUUCAUGUUAAAACUGUUAAUGUUAUCGUCAUGCUGUCUGUUGUUGCCCAAAUGAGGAUGGGUUCCCUUUUGAGUCUGGUUCCUCUCGAGGUUUCUUCCUCAUGUCGUCUGAGGGAGUUUUUCCUUGCCACCGUCGCCACAGGCUUGCUCAUUGGGGAUAGAUUAGGGAUAAAAUUAGCUCAUGCUUUAA
Molecule: long non-coding RNA, 1750 nt
Organism: Neoarius graeffei (lesser salmon catfish)
Lineage: Eukaryota; Metazoa; Chordata; Actinopteri; Siluriformes; Ariidae
Exons: 3
Source: RefSeq, a predicted model, not a curated record